ACUUACUGUACAUGGAUUGUAUACUGUGUAGGGUAUCAGUACUUACAAUACACAGUAUACAAUCCAUGUACAGUAAGU
This is a non-coding RNA of Pelobates cultripes (western spadefoot toad), 78 nucleotides long. NCBI's taxonomy places the organism in Eukaryota, Metazoa, Chordata, Amphibia, Anura, Pelobatidae. The record is from the annotation of a GenBank genome assembly.